AGAGGCUGCAUUCCUUCCCCAGAAGGGAAGGCAGACAAGGACAAGAGACUGACUGAGGAGAGGAGUAGCAGGACCCAGUGUCACCUAUAAGGAUUCGCCUUGCCCCAAACCUGAGUCUCCAAAGCUAAAAAAGGACUGAGCCUACUAAGGUGAACAAGGUA
Long non-coding RNA from Dermochelys coriacea (leatherback sea turtle), 161 nucleotides. RefSeq lists it as uncharacterized. Lineage: Eukaryota; Metazoa; Chordata; Testudines; Dermochelyidae. The transcript is spliced from 3 exons. The record is from RefSeq and is a predicted model, not a curated record.